This 71-nucleotide transfer RNA is filed under the name Caudoviricetes sp. RNAcentral's name for it is "tRNA-Thr". It matches the Rfam family "tRNA". Rfam says of the family: Transfer RNA (tRNA) molecules are approximately 80 nucleotides in length. Their secondary structure includes four short double-helical elements and three loops (D, anti-codon, and T loops). Further hydrogen bonds mediate the characteristic L-shaped molecular structure. tRNAs have two regions of fundamental functional importance: the anti-codon, which is responsible for specific mRNA codon recognition, and the 3' end, to which the tRNAs corresponding amino acid is attached (by aminoacyl-tRNA synthetases). tRNAs cope with the degeneracy of the genetic code in two manners: having more than one tRNA (with a specific anti-codon) for a particular amino acid; and 'wobble' base-pairing, i.e. permitting non-standard base-pairing at the 3rd anti-codon position. Lineage: Duplodnaviria; Heunggongvirae; Uroviricota; Caudoviricetes. The record is from RNAcentral.
GCUGAAUUGGUGAAAUGGUAUCACACGACAAUGGUAAUGUCGUAUUAACAGUUCAAUUCUGUUAUUCAGCA